Molecule: long non-coding RNA, 514 nt
Organism: Homalodisca vitripennis (glassy-winged sharpshooter)
Lineage: Eukaryota; Metazoa; Arthropoda; Insecta; Hemiptera; Cicadellidae
Exons: 3
Source: RefSeq, a predicted model, not a curated record
ACGUAAUACCUUUAUCCUUUUUGAGAACGAAAUUCGUCGAUAUAUUAAAAGAUUGUUGUUUGAAGUGUUUUUCUUUUAUUAUUGUAAGAAGCCUCUGCGCAUUUAUUUUCUGCAUACAGUACAUCAAGCCCUUUGAUAUAGUCGAGAUGGACCUGGGCCAGACCCAACUACUGAGCCAGCCACUGAUUCUCUCCAUAUUUUAUGGAUGAAUAACAAUUAUAAUUGUGAAGAUUCUAAAUCAAAUUCAAGUGUACAUCUCUUGACUGACAAACAAAAUGAAAUGUUAAGUGUAACCCUUAAAUUUUGAUACAACAUCGAUAGUGGCAAUGGCAGGAAGUCUGGAGCGCCUUAACCAAUAAAUACAGAAACACCUACUGGACUGACGUUUAUUACCCUGAACAUAUCGAUAGAACCCUGAAAUUACAAAAAAACACCCGAUUAUGACAAAGAACCUAUGGAUGUGACAUUUAAAUCCUGAUAAAGACUGUUUACCCCCUAUUAUGAAUUAAUAAUA